This 253-nucleotide ribosomal RNA is filed under the name uncultured bacterium. RNAcentral's name for it is "partial 16S ribosomal RNA". It matches the Rfam family "Bacterial small subunit ribosomal RNA", at positions 524 to 776 of the family's 1533-position model. The record is from RNAcentral.
UACGUAGGGCGCAAGCGUUAUCCGGAAUUAUUGGGCGUAAAGAGCUCGUAGGCGGCUUGUCGCGUCUGCCGUGAAAGUCCGGGGCUCAACUCCGGAUCUGCGGUGGGUACGGGCAGACUAGAGUGAUGUAGGGGAGACUGGAAUUCCUGGUGUAGCGGUGAAAUGCGCAGAUAUCAGGAGGAACACCGAUGGCGAAGGCAGGUCUCUGGGCAUUAACUGACGCUGAGGAGCGAAAGCAUGGGGAGCAAACAGG